This 504-nucleotide ribosomal RNA is filed under the name uncultured bacterium. RNAcentral describes it as "bacterial SSU rRNA". It matches the Rfam family "Bacterial small subunit ribosomal RNA", at positions 29 to 507 of the family's 1533-position model. The record is from RNAcentral.
AACGAACGCUGGCGGCGUGCUUAACACAUGGCAAGUCGAACGCGAAAGGGGCUUCGGUCCUGAGUAAAGUGGCGCACGGGUGAGUAACGCGUGGAUAAUCUGCCUGACAUUUUGGGAGUAACAUUUCGAAAGGGGUGCUAAUACCGGAUAAGACCACGAGGCCUUAGGGCCAUGAGGUAAAAGGUGGGGACCUUCGGGCCUGCCGAUGUCAGAUGAGUCCGCGUACCAUUAGCUAGUUGGUGGGGUAAAGGCCUACCAAGGCGACGAUGGUUAGCUGGUCUGAGAGGAUGAUCAGCCACACUCGGAACUGAGACACGGUCCAGACUCCUACGGGAGGCAGCAGUGGGGAAUUUUGCGCAAUGGGGGAAACCCUGACGCAGCAACGCCGCGUGAGUGAUGAAGGCCUUCGGGUCGUAAAGCUCUGUCAGAGGGGAAGAAGUGUGAGGUGGCUAAUAACCAUUUCACUUGACGGUACCUUCAAAGGAAGCACCGGCUAACUCCGUG